RNAcentral lists this ribosomal RNA (494 nucleotides) under uncultured bacterium. RNAcentral describes it as "partial 16S ribosomal RNA". It matches the Rfam family "Bacterial small subunit ribosomal RNA", at positions 28 to 507 of the family's 1533-position model. The record is from RNAcentral.
GACGAACGCUGGCGGCGUGCUUAACACAUGCAAGUCGAACGGUGAAGCGCCUUCCUUUUUGGUGGGUGUGGAUGAGUGGCGAACGGGUGAGUAACACGUGAGUAACCUGCCCCCUUCUUCUGGAUAACCGCAUGAAAGUGUGGCUAAUACGGGACAUUCUGGGUCUGUCGCAUGAUGGGUCUGGGAAAGAUAUUGUUUCGGUGGGGGAUGGGCUCGCGGCCUAUCAGCUUGUUGGUGGGGUGAUGGCCUACCAAGGCGGUGACGGGUAGCCGGCCUGAGAGGGUGGACGGUCACACUGGGACUGAGACACGGCCCAGACUCCGACGAGAGGCAGCAGUGGGGAAUAGUGCACAAUGGGCGCAAGCCUGAUGCAGCGACGCCGCGUGAGGGAUGGAGGCCUUCGGGUUGUGAACCUCUUUCGCCAGUGAAGCAGGCCUGCCUCGUUUGUGGGUGGGUUGACGGUAGCUGGAUAAGAAGCGCCGGCUAACUACGUG